Molecule: non-coding RNA, 25 nt
Filed under: Mus musculus (house mouse)
Lineage: Eukaryota; Metazoa; Chordata; Mammalia; Rodentia; Muridae
Source: RNAcentral
CAAUUUGUAGAGAGGGCAAAACCCC